UCGGGCGUGGUGCACGGUGCACAGCUGCUCAUUAUGUGGUGUAGCGAUCGAUAUGUUGCAGGAGCUUGACGGGGCUCGACUCCCCGCGUCCGAA
This is a non-coding RNA of Mycena vulgaris, 94 nucleotides long. The record is from the annotation of a GenBank genome assembly. Lineage: Eukaryota; Fungi; Basidiomycota; Agaricomycetes; Agaricales; Mycenaceae.